GGACUACAGGGGUUUCUAAUCCUGUUUGAUCCCCGCACUUUCGAGCCUCAGCGUCAGUUACAGCUUCGUUAGCUGCCUUCGCAAUCGGUGUUCUAUGACAUCUCUAUGUAUUUCACCACUACAUGUCAUAUUCCGCCAACGGCAACUGUACUCAAGCCCUACAGUAUCAAUGGCAAUUUCCUCGUUAAGCGAGGAGAUUUCACCACUGACUUAUAAGGCCGCCUACGCUCCCUUUAAACCCAAUGAAUCCGGAUAACGCUUGCAUCCUUCGUCUUACCGCGGCGGCUGGCAC
This 292-nucleotide ribosomal RNA is filed under the name uncultured bacterium. RNAcentral's name for it is "partial 16S ribosomal RNA". RNAcentral also lists the same sequence under 1 other name. The record is from RNAcentral.